RNAcentral lists this ribosomal RNA (730 nucleotides) under uncultured bacterium. RNAcentral's name for it is "bacterial SSU rRNA". It matches the Rfam family "Bacterial small subunit ribosomal RNA", at positions 100 to 848 of the family's 1533-position model. The record is from RNAcentral.
GACGGGUGAGUAACGCGUAGGGAACCUGGCCCUUACGGGGGGAUAACAGAUGGAAACAACUGCUAAUACCGCAUAAGCGCCCAGCCUCGCAUGAGGCAGAGUGAAAAACUAAGGUGGUAAGGGAUGGCCCUGCGUCCGAUUAGCUAGUUGGUAUGGUAACGGCAUACCAAGGCGACGAUCGGUAGCCGGCCUGAGAGGGUGGACGGCCACAUUGGGACUGAGACACGGCCCAAACUCCUACGGGAGGCAGCAGUGGGGGAUAUUGCACAAUGGGGGAAACCCUGAUGCAGCGACACCGCGUGGGUGAAGAAGCGCUUCGGCGUGUAAAGCCCUAUCAGUGGGGAAGAAAAAGGACGGUACCCAAAGAAGAAGCACCGGCUAAAUACGUGCCAGCAGCCGCGGUAAUACGUAUGGUGCAAGCGUUAUCCGGAAUGACUGGGUGUAAAGGGAGCGUAGACGGUUGUACAAGUCUGAUGUGAAAGCCCACGGCUCAACUGUGGGAGUGCAUUGGAAACUGUAGAACUAGAGUAUCGGAGAGGCAAGUGGAAUUCCUAGUGUAGCGGUGAAAUGCGUAGAUAUUAGGAGGAACACCAGUGGCGAAGGCUGCUUGCUGGACGAAAACUGACGUUGAGGCUCGAAAGCGUGGGGAGCAAACAGGAUUAGAUACCCUGGUAGUCCACGCUGUAAACGAUGAAUACUAGGUGUUGGGGCCCGAAGGGCGUCGGUGCCG